AAAACAAUCCACCAUGUAGGUGGUACGGACUCGAUAGAUGAUUGAGCGUGAUGAGAUGGAAAAAAAACUGCAUAAGCUUGCAAAAAAAUGGAAGCUCCACGAUUGAAGAGGCCUUCCAAAAGCGCCUUCAGGAAGAAAAGAUCCUUCAUGAGCAAGAGCAGCUGAGAGAGAUUGAGCUCAGCAAGCAACACCACAUGGGUGACUUGCAGGAGAAAAAUAGGCUUUCUCGAUUGUUGGAGCAUAAGAAUGCUUUCCAGGAAAGAAUUGUCCAA
Long non-coding RNA from Triticum dicoccoides, 272 nucleotides. RefSeq lists it as uncharacterized. The transcript has 3 exons. The record is from RefSeq and is a predicted model, not a curated record. Lineage: Eukaryota; Viridiplantae; Streptophyta; Magnoliopsida; Poales; Poaceae.